Molecule: long non-coding RNA, 479 nt
Organism: Gossypium raimondii (Peruvian cotton)
Lineage: Eukaryota; Viridiplantae; Streptophyta; Magnoliopsida; Malvales; Malvaceae
Exons: 2
Source: RefSeq, a predicted model, not a curated record
UCCUUUCUCUGCUAGGCCGACGGCCUCCCAAGACCUCCGUCGCGCCACCAACGUGGUCGGCGACCGGUGCCGAAAAGUGGUCCCGUUAGCCCCUGUUUCACGGUAUCCUUGAAAGCCAAAGCUCUCUCAACCCACGGGAGUUGAAAACAAAGGAGGUUCACGACCGCUUGGACCCGAUUCGGGCGACGGAGGAGAGAUCCUCCGACGGCGCAACCACGGCCACCAGGUGUCAGACGAGGCCGACGGCUAUGGUCAGAAGCGUGCAUGAGUGAGCCUGGUAGCAUGCGGCGCUUGAAGGCUUGGGGGCAAGCAGCAGCUAGGGUUUUCUGUUGCUGAAAUUUUUUAAUUUCCUGGGCUAGGGUUUAGGUUUGUUGGGUAAUGGGCCAUUGUUUUAUUUUUUCUACUGGGCCGGCAAAUUUGGGCUUCUACAAUAUGUACAUGAUGUUAACGUAACAAUGUGAAUAUAUAAAUUCGUAAAA